RNAcentral lists this ribosomal RNA (468 nucleotides) under uncultured bacterium. RNAcentral's name for it is "partial 16S ribosomal RNA". It matches the Rfam family "Bacterial small subunit ribosomal RNA", at positions 28 to 507 of the family's 1533-position model. The record is from RNAcentral.
GACGAAUGCUGGCGGCGUGCUUAACACAUGCCAGUCGAACGGAAAGGCCCUGCUUUUGUGGGGUGCUCGAGUGGCGAACGGGUGAGUAACACGUGAGUAACCUGCCCUUGACUUUGGGAUAACUUCAGGAAACUGGGGCUAAUACCGGAUAGGAGCUCCUGCUGCAUGGUGGGGGUUGGAAAGUUUCGGCGGUUGGGGAUGGACUCGCGGCUUAUCAGCUUGUUGGUGGGGUAGUGGCUUACCAAGGCUUUGACGGGUAGCCGGCCUGAGAGGGUGACCGGCCACAUUGGGACUGAGAUACGGACCAGACUCCUACGGGAGGCAGCAGUGGGGAAUAUUGCACAAUGGGCGGAAGCCUGAUGCAGCAACGCCGCGUGCGGGAUGACGGCCUUCGGGUUGUAAACCGCUUUCGCCUGUGACGAAGCGUGAGUGACGGUAAUGGGUAAAGAAGCACCGGCUAACUACGUG